Molecule: long non-coding RNA, 1013 nt
Organism: Acipenser ruthenus (sterlet)
Lineage: Eukaryota; Metazoa; Chordata; Actinopteri; Acipenseriformes; Acipenseridae
Exons: 6
Source: RefSeq, a predicted model, not a curated record
UAUUCAAUGUAUUCUUGAUGUAAUAUUUUCUUUAGCCAGUUACAUUGUUUUUGCAGCACUUUACGACAGCUUGAACUUGUGUCGCAGCCGUCUCGUCUGAUACUGCAACCCUAAUGCUAGGACAGCAUGUCUUUGGAGUAGUCGCCAGAUGGCGCUACUGAACCAUAUAAAAAGACAAUCUGUAGACAAGUUCCAGGUCAGGUGGGCCUGAGACCCUAGCAACCAGAAUUCAGGCGAUAUUUGGAGUGUUAUUGAUCUGGUGAUUGGCCUUCUGUGUGAAUUUAUGCUGGCUGGUUGAACAGUGCUACGGGGCUGGUUCUGGUUUGAAUGACAGAAGCUGAUUAGCCUGCUGUGUUAGUGUCGCUAGUGUGGUGAUGCUGGAACUGGGUUGGAUAAGAGACUUUUGGCAGAAAGAGGUGAUUUGAGGUCUUCAGGUGAAAGACCCAGACGCCGCAGUCACCACAGGUCCUUGGAAAUGAACAGCUCAUGGAACUCUGAACUAGUUUUGCUGAAACUUGAUUGGCUGUGUGAGUGUUGCUAGUGUCUUGGGCAGUGCUGCUGUUUGUGUUUUGGAUAAGAGACAUUUUGGCGGGAAAUUGUGUAAUGAUUAAAGCCAAGGAUGUGACUGUGAGGUCUUUUUCCUUGUUCCCUGAGAAUACCCCUACCUAGAUAUCCUUCUGACCUGGGCAACUUUGAGACGAGAACCACCAACAUCAGAUGACGGGCUGAGUUUAGCAGCGAGUGCUGGGGAGUCAAAAGAACUAGGAGGAUGCAUACCUACACAUCUCCUAUUAAUCCAGCUCCGCCUCUGCAAAGGAACAUUUUCUUACUGCCGCUAGCUGGGUAGAGAUGGAGAAGGUCUGGGGGAGAAGUUGUAUUUUGCGUGUAUGCACAAAUGUUUUUGGUUUGAAAGAACUAAUUAAGUUUGUCAUUCAGUUUGUGUACAUGGUUAUACUGGUUACAACUUGUAUGUAUUUUUAACCAGCCUUAAGAAAAUAAAUAUUUAUUCCUCA